AACGGGUGAGUAACACGUAAGCAACCUGCCUUUAAGACGAGAAUAACAAUUGGAAACAGUUGCUAAGGCUGGAUAGGAAAUAAAAAGGAAUCUUUUUAUUUUUAAAAGACCUUUUUCGGAAGGUAUGCUUAAAGAGGGGCUUGCGUCACAUUAGUUAGUUGGUAGGGUAAAGGCCUACCAAGACGAUGAUGUGUAGCUGGACUGAGAGGUUGAACAGCCACAUUGGGACUGAGACACGGCCCAAACUCCUACGGGAGGCAGCAGUAGGGAAUUUUCGGCAAUGGAGGAAACUCUGACCGAGCAACGCCGCGUGAACGACGAAGUACUUCGGUAUGUAAAGUUCUUUUAUUGAAGAAGAAACAAUAGUGGAAAAACUAUCUUGACGUUAUUCAAUGAAUAAGCCCCGGCUAACUAUGUGCCAGCAGCCGCGGUAAUACAUAGGGGGCGAGCGUUAUCCGGAAUUAUUGGGCGUAAAGGGUGCGUAGGCGGUUUAAUAAGUCUCUAGUUUAAUUUCAACGCUUAACGUUGUCCUGCUAGAGAAACUGUUUAACUAGAGUGAGAUAGAGGUAAGCGGAAUUCCAUGUGUAGCGGUAAAAUGUGUAAAUAUAUGGAGGAACACCAGAGGCGUAGGCGGCUUACUGGGUCUUUACUGACGCUGAUGCACGAAAGCGUGGGGAGCAAACAGGAUUAGAUACCCUGGUAGUCCACGCCGUAAACUAUGAGUACUAAGUGUCGGGGUUAAACUCGGUACUGAAGUUAACACAUUAAGUACUCCGCCUGAGUAGUACGUACGCAAGUAUGAAACUUAAAGGAAUUGACGGGAUCCCGCACAAGCGGUGGAUCAUGUUGUUUAAUUCGAAGAUACACGAAAAACCUUACCAGGUCUUGACAUACUCUGCAAAGCUAUAGAAAUAUAGUGGAGGUUAUCAGGGAUACAGGUGGUGCAUGGUUGUCGUCAGCUCGUGUCGUGAGAUGUUAGGUUAAGUUCUAAAACGAGCGCAACCCCUGUCGUUAAUUGCCAGCACGUUAUGGUGGGGACUUUAGCGAGACUGCCAAUGAAAAAUUGGAGGAAGGUGGGGAUUACGUCAAAUCAUCAUGCCCCUUAUGAUCUGGGCUACAAACGUGAUACAAUGGCUAUUACAAAGAGUAGCUGAAACGCGAGUUUUCGGCAAAUCUCAAAAAAAUAGUCUCAGUUCGGAUUGAAGUCUGCAACUCGACUUCAUGAAGUUGGAAUCGCUAGUAAUCGCGAAUCAGCAUGUCGCGGUGAAUACGUUCUCGGGGUUUGUACACACCGCCCGUCAAACCACGAAAGUGGACAAUACCCGAAAGCGACAGCCUAACUGCGUAAGCAGAGGGAAUCGUCUAAGGUAGGGUCGAUGAUUGGGGUUAAGUCGUAACAAGGUAUCCCUACCGGAAGGUGGGGAUGGAUCACCUCCUUUCUA
RNAcentral lists this ribosomal RNA (1442 nucleotides) under Coconut lethal yellowing phytoplasma. RNAcentral's name for it is "bacterial SSU rRNA". It matches the Rfam family "Bacterial small subunit ribosomal RNA". The record is from RNAcentral. Lineage: Bacteria; Bacillati; Mycoplasmatota; Mollicutes; Acholeplasmatales; Acholeplasmataceae.